GGGUUGUGAGGUUAAGCGACUAAGCGUACACGGUGGAUGCCCUGGCAGUCAGAGGCGAUGAAGGACGUGCUAAUCUGCGAUAAGCGUCGGUAAGGUGAUAUGAACCGUUAUAACCGGCGAUUUCCGAAUGGGGAAACCCAGUGUGUUUCGACACACUAUCAUUAACUGAAUCCAUAGGUUAAUGAGGCGAACCGGGGGAACUGAAACAUCUAAGUACCCCGAGGAAAAGAAAUCAACCGAGAUUCCCCCAGUAGCGGCGAGCGAACGGGGAGCAGCCCAGAGCCUGAAUCAGUGUGUGUGUUAGUGGAAGCGUCUGGAAAGGCGCGCGAUACAGGGUGACAGCCCCGUACACAAAAAUGCACAUAUUGUGAGCUCGAUGAGUAGGGCGGGACACGUGGUAUCCUGUCUGAAUAUGGGGGGACCAUCCUCCAAGGCUAAAUACUCCUGACUGACCGAUAGUGAACCAGUACCGUGAGGGAAAGGCGAAAAGAACCCCGGCGAGGGGAGUGAAAAAGAACCUGAAACCGUGUACGUACAAGCAGUGGGAGCACGCUUAGGCGUGUGACUGCGUACCUUUUGUAUAAUGGGUCAGCGACUUAUAUUCUGUAGCAAGGUUAACCGAAUAGGGGAGCCGAAGGGAAACCGAGUCUUAACUGGGCGUUAAGUUGCAGGGUAUAGACCCGAAACCCGGUGAUCUAGCCAUGGGCAGGUUGAAGGUUGGGUAACACUAACUGGAGGACCGAACCGACUAAUGUUGAAAAAUUAGCGGAUGACUUGUGGCUGGGGGUGAAAGGCCAAUCAAACCGGGAGAUAGCUGGUUCUCCCCGAAAGCUAUUUAGGUAGCGCCUCGUGAAUUCAUCUCCGGGGGUAGAGCACUGUUUCGGCAAGGGGGUCAUCCCGACUUACCAACCCGAUGCAAACUGCGAAUACCGGAGAAUGUUAUCACGGGAGACACACGGCGGGUGCUAACGUCCGUCGUGAAGAGGGAAACAACCCAGACCGCCAGCUAAGGUCCCAAAGUCAUGGUUAAGUGGGAAACGAUGUGGGAAGGCCCAGACAGCCAGGAUGUUGGCUUAGAAGCAGCCAUCAUUUAAAGAAAGCGUAAUAGCUCACUGGUCGAGUCGGCCUGCGCGGAAGAUGUAACGGGGCUAAACCAUGCACCGAAGCUGCGGCAGCGACACUAUGUGUUGUUGGGUAGGGGAGCGUUCUGUAAGCCUGUGAAGGUGUACUGUGAGGUAUGCUGGAGGUAUCAGAAGUGCGAAUGCUGACAUAAGUAACGAUAAAGCGGGUGAAAAGCCCGCUCGCCGGAAGACCAAGGGUUCCUGUCCAACGUUAAUCGGGGCAGGGUGAGUCGACCCCUAAGGCGAGGCCGAAAGGCGUAGUCGAUGGGAAACAGGUUAAUAUUCCUGUACUUGGUGUUACUGCGAAGGGGGGACGGAGAAGGCUAUGUUGGCCGGGCGACGGUUGUCCCGGUUUAAGCGUGUAGGCUGGUUUUCCAGGCAAAUCCGGAAAAUCAAGGCUGAGGCGUGAUGACGAGGCACUACGGUGCUGAAGCAACAAAUGCCCUGCUUCCAGGAAAAGCCUCUAAGCAUCAGGUAACAUCAAAUCGUACCCCAAACCGACACAGGUGGUCAGGUAGAGAAUACCAAGGCGCUUGAGAGAACUCGGGUGAAGGAACUAGGCAAAAUGGUGCCGUAACUUCGGGAGAAGGCACGCUGAUAUGUAGGUGAAGUCCCUCGCGGAUGGAGCUGAAAUCAGUCGAAGAUACCAGCUGGCUGCAACUGUUUAUUAAAAACACAGCACUGUGCAAACACGAAAGUGGACGUAUACGGUGUGACGCCUGCCCGGUGCCGGAAGGUUAAUUGAUGGGGUUAGCGCAAGCGAAGCUCUUGAUCGAAGCCCCGGUAAACGGCGGCCGUAACUAUAACGGUCCUAAGGUAGCGAAAUUCCUUGUCGGGUAAGUUCCGACCUGCACGAAUGGCGUAAUGAUGGCCAGGCUGUCUCCACCCGAGACUCAGUGAAAUUGAACUCGCUGUGAAGAUGCAGUGUACCCGCGGCAAGACGGAAAGACCCCGUGAACCUUUACUAUAGCUUGACACUGAACAUUGAGCCUUGAUGUGUAGGAUAGGUGGGAGGCUUUGAAGUGUGGACGCCAGUCUGCAUGGAGCCGACCUUGAAAUACCACCCUUUAAUGUUUGAUGUUCUAACGUUGACCCGUAAUCCGGGUUGCGGACAGUGUCUGGUGGGUAGUUUGACUGGGGCGGUCUCCUCCUAAAGAGUAACGGAGGAGCACGAAGGUUGGCUAAUCCUGGUCGGACAUCAGGAGGUUAGUGCAAUGGCAUAAGCCAGCUUGACUGCGAGCGUGACGGCGCGAGCAGGUGCGAAAGCAGGUCAUAGUGAUCCGGUGGUUCUGAAUGGAAGGGCCAUCGCUCAACGGAUAAAAGGUACUCCGGGGAUAACAGGCUGAUACCGCCCAAGAGUUCAUAUCGACGGCGGUGUUUGGCACCUCGAUGUCGGCUCAUCACAUCCUGGGGCUGAAGUAGGUCCCAAGGGUAUGGCUGUUCGCCAUUUAAAGUGGUACGCGAGCUGGGUUUAGAACGUCGUGAGACAGUUCGGUCCCUAUCUGCCGUGGGCGCUGGAGAAUUGAGGGGGGCUGCUCCUAGUACGAGAGGACCGGAGUGGACGCAUCACUGGUGUUCGGGUUGUCAUGCCAAUGGCACUGCCCGGUAGCUAAAUGCGGAAGAGAUAAGUGCUGAAAGCAUCUAAGCACGAAACUUGCCCCGAGAUGAGUUCUCCCUGACUCCUUGAGAGUCCUGAAGGAACGUUGAAGACGACGACGUUGAUAGGCCGGGUGUGUAAGCGCAGCGAUGCGUUGAGCUAACCGGUACUAAUGAACCGUGAGGCUUAACCUUACAACGCCGAAGCUGUU
RNAcentral lists this ribosomal RNA (2929 nucleotides) under Escherichia coli. RNAcentral describes it as "23S ribosomal RNA". It matches the Rfam family "Bacterial large subunit ribosomal RNA". Lineage: Bacteria; Pseudomonadati; Pseudomonadota; Gammaproteobacteria; Enterobacterales; Enterobacteriaceae. The record is from RNAcentral.